GGAAGUAAAUAACAAGGUUUCCGUAGGUGAACCUGCGGAAGGAUCAUUAUUGUAUAACCGAGGUGCGAGGGCUGUCGCUGACCCGAAAGGUCGUGCACGCCCGAGUGCCCUCACACACAUCCAUCUCACCCCUAUGUGCACCACCGCGUGGGUCCCCCUUUGGCUUGUUCGGAGGGGGGCUUACGUUUUCACACAAACUUUGUAUGCAGUGUAGAGUGUAUUUUUUGUUUUUGCGAUCACGCAAUCAAUACAACUUUCAACAACGGAUCUCUUGGCUCUC
RNAcentral lists this unclassified non-coding RNA (280 nucleotides) under plant metagenome. RNAcentral's name for it is "partial contains small subunit ribosomal RNA, internal transcribed spacer 1, and 5.8S ribosomal RNA". The record is from RNAcentral.